This 162-nucleotide ribosomal RNA is filed under the name uncultured bacterium. RNAcentral's name for it is "partial 16S ribosomal RNA". It matches the Rfam family "Bacterial small subunit ribosomal RNA", at positions 1340 to 1500 of the family's 1533-position model. The record is from RNAcentral.
AAUGGCAGGUCAGCAUACUGCCGUGAAUACGUUCCCGGGCCCUUGUACACACCGCCCGUCACACCAUGAGAGUUGGAAAUACCCGAAGCCUGUGAGCUAACUGUAAAGAGGCAGCAGUCGAAGGUAGAGCCAAUGAUUGGGGUGAAGUCGUAACAAGGUAUC